This 67-nucleotide transfer RNA is filed under the name Agrilus discalis. Its description in RNAcentral is "tRNA-Asp". Lineage: Eukaryota; Metazoa; Arthropoda; Insecta; Coleoptera; Buprestidae. The record is from RNAcentral.
AAAAAUUUAGUUAAGCUAAAUAACAUCAGUUUGUCAGACUGAAAUCAUUUAUAAAAAAUAAUUUUUU